This 207-nucleotide ribosomal RNA is filed under the name Chromobacterium sinusclupearum. RNAcentral describes it as "Chromobacterium sp. MWU13-2610 partial 23S ribosomal RNA". It matches the Rfam family "Bacterial large subunit ribosomal RNA", at positions 1668 to 1859 of the family's 2925-position model. The record is from RNAcentral. Lineage: Bacteria; Pseudomonadati; Pseudomonadota; Betaproteobacteria; Neisseriales; Chromobacteriaceae.
CAGGAUGAGAAUUCUAAGGCGCUUGAGAGAACUCAGGAGAAGGAACUCGGCAAAUUGAUACCGUAACUUCGGGAGAAGGUAUGCCUGUUGUGGUGUAGACCCUUGCGGUCGAAGCUAUGACAGGUCGCAGAGAAUCGGUGGCUGCGACUGUUUAACAAAAACACAGCACUGUGCCAACACGAAAGUGGACGUAUACGGUGUGACGCC